RNAcentral lists this ribosomal RNA (557 nucleotides) under uncultured Alphaproteobacteria bacterium. RNAcentral's name for it is "bacterial SSU rRNA". It matches the Rfam family "Bacterial small subunit ribosomal RNA", at positions 102 to 694 of the family's 1533-position model. Lineage: Bacteria; Pseudomonadati; Pseudomonadota; Alphaproteobacteria. The record is from RNAcentral.
ACGGGUGAGUAACGCGUGGGAAUGUACCAUAUGGUUCGGAAUAACUAAGGGAAACUUUAGCUAAUACCGGAUAAGCCCUUCGGGGGAAAGAUUUAUCGCCAAAUGAACAGCCCGCGUUAGAUUAGGUAGUUGGUGGGGUAAAGGCUCACCAAGCCGACGAUCUAUAGCUGGUCUGAGAGGAUGAUCAGCCACACUGGGACUGAGACACGGCCCAGACUCCUACGGGAGGCAGCAGUGGGGAAUAUUGGACAAUGGGGGAAACCCUGAUCCAGCAAUGCCGCGUGAGUGAAGAAGGCCUUCGGGUUGUAAAGCUCUUUUGUCAGGGAAGAUAAUGACGGUACCUGACGAAUAAGCUCCGGCUAACUUCGUGCCAGCAGCCGCGGUAAUACGAAGGGAGCUAGCGUUGUUCGGAAUUACUGGGCGUAAAGGGCGCGUAGGCGGCCGCGUAAGUCAGAUGUGAAAGCCCCGGGCUUAACCUGGGAACUGCAUUUGAUACUGCGUGGCUAGAGGAUGAGAGAGGAAAGUGGAAUUACGAGUGUAGAGGUGAAAUUCGUAGA